GACGAACGCUGGCGGCGUGCCUAAUACAUGCAAGUAGAACGCACAGGAUGCACCGUAGUUUACUACACCGUAUUCUGUGAGUUGCGAACGGGUGAGUAACGCGUAGGUAACCUGCCUGGUAGCGGGGGAUAACUAUUGGAAACGAUAGCUAAUACCGCAUAAGAACAUUUACUGCAUGGUAGAUGCUUAAAAGGUGCAAAUGCAUCACUACCAGAUGGACCUGCGUUGUAUUAGCUAGUAGGUGAGGUAACGGCUCACCUAGGCGACGAUACAUAGCCGACCUGAGAGGGUGAUCGGCCACACUGGGACUGAGACACGGCCCAGACUCCUACGGGAGGCAGCAGUAGGGAAUCUUCGGCAAUGGGGGGAACCCUGACCGAGCAACGCCGCGUGAGUGAAGAAGGUUUUCGGAUCGUAAAGCUCUGUUGUUAAGGAAGAACGAGUGUGAGAAUGGGAAAGUUCAUACUGUGACGGUACUUAACCAGAAAGG
Molecule: ribosomal RNA, 490 nt
Filed under: Streptococcus intermedius
Lineage: Bacteria; Bacillati; Bacillota; Bacilli; Lactobacillales; Streptococcaceae
Description: bacterial SSU rRNA
Rfam family: Bacterial small subunit ribosomal RNA
Source: RNAcentral